RNAcentral lists this non-coding RNA (99 nucleotides) under Capnocytophaga cynodegmi. Its description in RNAcentral is "SAM-I-IV sequence". It matches the Rfam family "SAM-I/IV (S-adenosyl methionine) riboswitch aptamer". Rfam says of the family: It is found upstream of a number of genes which code for proteins involved in methionine or cysteine biosynthesis. It has been found mostly in the order Actinomycetales. The record is from Rfam by way of RNAcentral. Lineage: Bacteria; Pseudomonadati; Bacteroidota; Flavobacteriia; Flavobacteriales; Flavobacteriaceae.
UGCCAUCAUCAGGAGUUUCUGAGUGUCAGGACACCAACCGAGCUAAAGCCAGCCACGGUGGUUUAGAAUGAGGGCAACCUGCCAAAAACAAAGGUUUCU